Molecule: ribosomal RNA, 253 nt
Filed under: uncultured bacterium
Lineage: Bacteria
Description: partial 16S ribosomal RNA
Rfam family: Bacterial small subunit ribosomal RNA
Source: RNAcentral
UACGAAGGGGGCUAGCGUUGCUCGGAAUCACUGGGCGUAAAGGGUGCGUAGGCGGGUCUUUAAGUCAGGGGUGAAAUCCUGGAGCUCAACUCCAGAACUGCCUUUGAUACUGAAGAUCUUGAGUUCGGGAGAGGUGAGUGGAACUGCGAGUGUAGAGGUGAAAUUCGUAGAUAUUCGCAAGAACACCAGUGGCGAAGGCGGCUCACUGGCCCGAUACUGACACUCAGGUGCGACAGCGUGGGGAGCAAACAGG